RNAcentral lists this ribosomal RNA (253 nucleotides) under uncultured bacterium. RNAcentral describes it as "partial 16S ribosomal RNA". It matches the Rfam family "Bacterial small subunit ribosomal RNA", at positions 524 to 776 of the family's 1533-position model. The record is from RNAcentral.
UACGGGGGGGGCAAGCGUUGUUCGGAAUUACUGGGCGUAAAGGGCUCGUAGGCGGCCAACUAAGUCAGACGUGAAAUCCCUCGGCUUAACCGGGGAACUGCAUCUGAUACUGGAUGGCUUGAGUUCGGGAGAGGGAUGCGGAAUUCCAGGUGUAGCGGUGAAAUGCGUAGAUAUCUGGAGGAACACCGGUGGCGAAGGCGACAUCCUGGACCGGUAUUGACGCUGAGGCGCGAAAGCCAGGGGAGCAAACGGG